UACAGAGGUCUCAAGCGUUGUUCGGAUUCAUUGGGCGUAAAGGGUGUGUAGGUGGCGCCGUAAGUGGGGUGUGAAAUUUCGAGGCUUAACCUCGAAACUACAUUCCAUACUGCGGUGCUUGAGGACUGGAGAGGAGACUGGAAUUUACGGUGUAGCGGUGAAAUGCGUAGAUAUCGUAAGGAAGACCAGUGGCGAAGGCGGGUCUCUGGACAGUUCCUGACGCUGAGGCACGAAGGCCAGGGGAGCAAACGGG
Molecule: ribosomal RNA, 253 nt
Filed under: uncultured bacterium
Lineage: Bacteria
Description: partial 16S ribosomal RNA
Rfam family: Bacterial small subunit ribosomal RNA
Source: RNAcentral